Molecule: ribosomal RNA, 355 nt
Filed under: uncultured bacterium
Lineage: Bacteria
Description: bacterial SSU rRNA
Rfam family: Bacterial small subunit ribosomal RNA
Source: RNAcentral
GUAGGUGGCAAGCGUUGUCCGGAUUUACUGGGUGUAAAGGGCGUGCAGCCGGGUCUGCAAGUCAGAUGUGAAAUCCAUGGGCUCAACCCAUGAACUGCAUUUGAAUCUGUAGAUCUUGAGUGUCGGAGGGGCAAUCGGAAUUCCUAGUGUAGCGGUGAAAUGCGUAGAUAUUAGGAGGAACACCAGUGGCGAAGGCGGAUUGCUGGACGAUAACUGACGGUGAGGCGCGAAAGUGUGGGGAGCAAACAGGAUUAGAUACCCUGGUAGUCCACACUGUAAACGAUGAAUACUAGGUGUGCGGGGACUGACCCCCUGCGUGCCGCAGUAAACACAAUAAGUAUUCCACCUGGGGAGU